Molecule: long non-coding RNA, 207 nt
Filed under: Nicotiana benthamiana
Lineage: Eukaryota; Viridiplantae; Streptophyta; Magnoliopsida; Solanales; Solanaceae
Description: long non-coding RNA (NBEN_LNC029387)
Source: RNAcentral
UUGUAUACGGCUAAAUCGGAGGGUCCAAUUUCUUGUCAUUAACUUACUUUGGAAGGUCACCUUCAAGGCUCGAGGCCACAGCCGAGUAUCCUCCGUCGAGGGUCGUCGAAACCGACCCCAAGAUAGUGAUGACCAUGGCUAUGAUGAAGAUGGGGAGUUCCCAAGGCGCAUAGCUAAGACUGACAAAGCUUAGCCGGUACUCUAAAC